Molecule: transfer RNA, 70 nt
Filed under: Camelus bactrianus (Bactrian camel)
Lineage: Eukaryota; Metazoa; Chordata; Mammalia; Artiodactyla; Camelidae
Also listed under: 1 other name
Rfam family: tRNA
About the family: Transfer RNA (tRNA) molecules are approximately 80 nucleotides in length. Their secondary structure includes four short double-helical elements and three loops (D, anti-codon, and T loops).
Source: Rfam by way of RNAcentral
GGAGAUAGCUCAGUGGUAGAACACAUGCCCAACAUGCAUGAGAUUCUGGGUUCAAUCCCUAGUCCCGCCA